AUCAGAUCUUUGCAUGACGAUUGAGGAAUGAAGUAUGGUAGCAGUCAUCUCAGGUAGAAACUAUAGUUUAAACUCUAACCCUGCUGUUUGGUUUCUGUACUACUUGU
Long non-coding RNA from Myotis davidii, 107 nucleotides. RefSeq lists it as uncharacterized. The transcript is spliced from 3 exons. The record is from RefSeq and is a predicted model, not a curated record. Lineage: Eukaryota; Metazoa; Chordata; Mammalia; Chiroptera; Vespertilionidae.